GCGCAAAAUCAAUACGCCGUCGUUUAAUAAUGUCCAUCGUGUAAUGUAAUUGCGCCAGAUCAGCAUUCCGGUGACAGAGAUGAUCGCAGGGGCAAGCCAGAGCCCCGAUUGCAAAUUUGGGGGUUCUAAUUAGGGCCACCAAAAUUGUAGAGGUCAUUCUGAGUAUCGGGCCAAAUUUCAGGGGCCAAAUGGAGAUUUAAUCCGUUAACUUCUAGUGCUUGCUUCUUCCUCCUUCUUCCUCCUAUCCACUCCGAUAAAAAUUCAUCACAACCAAAUAAUCUUGUCACUUUAAUCACACAAAACACUCUCACUGUUGUUUAGCACAACGCACUUUAAUCAUCUUCGUCCCUCCAAAACCCUCUCAAUCCCCUUUCUUCUCUCUCAAUUACCCUCUUCAUUCUUUGUUCUCUCUUUCUUUCCCUCUCUUUUGGAUUUCUCAAAUUCUAUGGUUAGGGAUUUCUCCUUUUUCUUCAAUUUUUUACGACUCUAAGAGUUACCCACAUGGUGCAGACGUGAGGGCACCCUCACGAUUUCUUCUUCAAUGGUGGCCACAACCGCCGUUGCCGCUACCGCCAACCUACUGCUGUUGCUCGCAGUGCCUCUCUCCAUAACUCAAGGAAUGGCAUGCUAUUUCUGAGAACCAUCAUUCGUCGAGAUACCUUGAGGACAAGGUGUUGGUUUGGUGUGUCAACAUCUUUUUCCAAGAACGAUGCUGGAAUAUAAGCGUUGUUCUAAAUCGAAAAAAAUAGAUGAUUCCAUCUUUUUGUUUGUUUUGUUGCUAGGAUUUGGCAAGGUGUUUUAAUGCUAUAGUCCUUUUUUUCUCAUUUGAAAACAGAUGUUGUUUGGCGUAUUUUAUGGUGGACAGUAUGAUCAUUAGUUUAGGCAAGUUGCAACGAAGCAUCUAAGUUCUAAAUACUUGAUAUUUGAUUUCUAGCUCUUAUUUAUAUUUAAUUGUUUAUUAUGUUAUUUGUUAUCGAGGGAACAAGGCCUAUACAUUUCUAAUGUCUGAUAGAAUGUUGUCUCAUAUCAAUGUUGAGUAAAUUUCAGUAACUGCAGAUACUCUGAAGGCUUUGAUUAAGAAUAAGAAAAAGAAGAGCAAGAAGAAAGGGAAUCCAAUUUGAAAGUUGGGAUGAACUAGGAUUUUAUUAUGGAGGAUGGAUUAAAUUGGCUCUAAUUGCAAUCUUGCCAUGUCAGCUUGCUGUUGGACACUCCUGCAUGGCAAAGGAUGAUCAUAUCAGCACUUCGACAACUGAGUCAGCACCGAAAAGAUACCCAGGGACCAUUAUGGUGUCUGAAGCUCAAUCCGAGGGACUAUUAUAAUGAAUUGGAAUCUUGAGGAUUAAAUUAGGUAAUCCUGUGAAUCUCAAAUACCGUUAUGAGGAUUUACUCUCUCAAUCUAAUCACUCUCUUGCGGGUAAAGCAAAGCAGUCACUAACACCAAGCACCAUGGUGUGUGGGUUAGAACAUUUUCUUGAAGGCAAGGGCUCUUGAGCAAAAAGGGACAAGGG
Molecule: non-coding RNA, 1508 nt
Organism: Arachis ipaensis
Lineage: Eukaryota; Viridiplantae; Streptophyta; Magnoliopsida; Fabales; Fabaceae
Source: RefSeq, a predicted model, not a curated record